Molecule: long non-coding RNA, 272 nt
Filed under: Salvia miltiorrhiza (redroot sage)
Lineage: Eukaryota; Viridiplantae; Streptophyta; Magnoliopsida; Lamiales; Lamiaceae
Description: long non-coding RNA (SMIL_LNC001248)
Source: RNAcentral
AGGAUUUUAACGAGGCUCGGCCCUUAGUUUACUUCUCGUGUGCUUUUAUGGGAUUUUUUUAAGCUUUUUCUUUUUUUUUUCCUUUCUUUAAUAAAAUUGCAAUUUAAUAAUGUUAUACAUUUGCAUAUCAAAUUACAGUUCUACUAGACUAUGUGUAUGUGGUAUAUUAAUUGUUUCUUUGAAUACCCCCCUCAUUGCCAUAGAUAAAUUCAACUAGGGUAAUUAUAUUCAUAGUCCCCGCUUUACUCAGUAUAGUCAUCAUUAAAAAUAAU